ACGGAAGGCAGCAGUGGGGAAUAUUGCACAAUGGGCGAAAGCCUGAUGCAGCAACGCCGCGUGAAGGACGACGUAUUUCGGUAUGUAAACUUCUAUCAGCAGGGAAGAUAAUGACGGUACCUGACUAAGAAGCCCCGGCUAACUACGUGCCAGCAGCCGCGGUAAUACGUAGGGGGCAAGCGUUAUCCGGAUUUACUGGGUGUAAAGGGAGCGUAGGCGGCCAUGCAAGUCAGAAGUGAAAGCCCGGGGCUCAACUCCGGGACUGCUUUUGAAACUGUAAGGCUGGAUUUCAGGAGAGGUAAGCGGAAUUCCUAGUGUAGCGGUGAAAUGCGUAGAUAUUAGGAGGAACACCAGUGGCGAAGGCGGCUUACUGGACUGAUAAUGACGCUGAGGCUCGAAAGCGUGGGGAGCAAACAGGAUUAGAUACCCUGGUA
Molecule: ribosomal RNA, 434 nt
Filed under: uncultured Lachnospiraceae bacterium
Lineage: Bacteria; Bacillati; Bacillota; Clostridia; Lachnospirales; Lachnospiraceae
Description: bacterial SSU rRNA
Rfam family: Bacterial small subunit ribosomal RNA
Source: RNAcentral